AUCUAGCCCCGAUUGUAGCGGCAUCCUUUUUCUGUGCGAGCGAAGCGAGCGCAGAAAAAGAUAUAGCGGAAAGCGGGUGAGACU
Molecule: small RNA, 84 nt
Filed under: Halpernia frigidisoli
Lineage: Bacteria; Pseudomonadati; Bacteroidota; Flavobacteriia; Flavobacteriales; Weeksellaceae
Description: Flavo-1 RNA
Rfam family: Flavo-1 RNA
Source: Rfam by way of RNAcentral